This 204-nucleotide small RNA is filed under the name Vigna angularis var. angularis. RNAcentral's name for it is "Non-protein coding transcript". Lineage: Eukaryota; Viridiplantae; Streptophyta; Magnoliopsida; Fabales; Fabaceae. The record is from RNAcentral.
UCUGAUCCUUGGCUUCCCUCUCAACACGACAAGACUCUUCUCCCUCUCUUCCCUUUGUCCGUCUCCAUUCUCAACCUCUUUUCCCUCUCUUUGCCCUUCAAAUUCUUCUGCUCUGCCUCCUCUCACCACCGCAUCGAAUCAAACUGGGGGAACUUCUGUCAGAGCAGGAGGAAGAGGAGGACGAGGGGGAGGAAGAGGGGGAGG